CCGGUGAUAAAAUUUAACGGCCGCGGUACCCUAACCGUGCGAAGGUAGCAUAAUCACUUGUUCUUUAAAUGAGGACUAGUAUCAACGGCAUCACGAGGAUCCUACUGUCUCCCCCCUCCAGUCAGUGAAACUGAUCUCUCCGUGAAGAAGCGGAGAUACGCAUAUAAGACGAGAAGACCCCAUGGAGCUUUAAACCCAACAACACCCGCCUCCCUUAAACCCUAUUAUCAGCCCGGCGAUUGUUUGCUUGGUUUUAGGUUGGGGUGACCACGGAGUACAAAACAUCCUCCAUGAAAAAAAGCUAACUGCCCUUAUUAGAGAAAGACAUUUCCAAAAAAUAACAAAUUAAUUUUUAAUGACCCGAUAUUCGAUCAACGAACCAAGUUACCCUGGGGAUAACAGCGCAAUCCGCCCCGAGAGCCCCUAUCGACAGGCGGGUUUACGACCUCGAUGUUGGAUCAGGGUAUCCUAGUGGUGCAGCAGCUACUAACGGUUCGUUUGUUCAACGAUUAAAACCCU
RNAcentral lists this ribosomal RNA (519 nucleotides) under Boophis roseipalmatus. RNAcentral's name for it is "partial 16S ribosomal RNA". It matches the Rfam family "Bacterial large subunit ribosomal RNA", at positions 1863 to 2597 of the family's 2925-position model. The record is from RNAcentral. Lineage: Eukaryota; Metazoa; Chordata; Amphibia; Anura; Mantellidae.